Molecule: ribosomal RNA, 492 nt
Filed under: uncultured bacterium
Lineage: Bacteria
Description: partial 16S ribosomal RNA
Rfam family: Bacterial small subunit ribosomal RNA
Source: RNAcentral
AGUGAACGCUGGCGGUAGGCCUAACACAUGCAAGUCGAACGGCAGCACAGUAAGAGCUUGCUCUUACGGGUGGCGAGUGGCGGACGGGUGAGGAAUACAUCGGAAUCUACUUUUUCGUGGGGGAUAACGUAGGGAAACUUACGCUAAUACCGCAUACGACCUACGGGUGAAAGCAGGGGAUCUUCGGACCUUGCGCGAUUGAAUGGGCCGAUGUCGGAUUAGCUAGUUGGCGGGGUAAAGGCCCACCAAGGCGACGAUCCGUAGCUGGUCUGAGAGGAUGAUCAGCCACACUGGAACUGGGACACGGUCCAGACUCCUGCGGGAGGCAGCAGUGGGGAAUAUUGGACAAUGGGCGCAAGCCUGAUCCAGCCAUACCGCGUGGGUGAAGAAGGCCUUCGGGUUGUAAAGCCCUUUUGUUGGGAAAGAAAAGCAGCAGGUUAAUACCCCGCUGUUCUGACGGUACCCAAAGAAUAAGCACCGGCUAACUUCGUG